Molecule: non-coding RNA, 29 nt
Filed under: Rattus norvegicus (Norway rat)
Lineage: Eukaryota; Metazoa; Chordata; Mammalia; Rodentia; Muridae
Source: RNAcentral
UAAAAUGAAUCACCACUGUGCCUGUAUCA